This 253-nucleotide ribosomal RNA is filed under the name uncultured bacterium. RNAcentral's name for it is "partial 16S ribosomal RNA". It matches the Rfam family "Bacterial small subunit ribosomal RNA", at positions 524 to 776 of the family's 1533-position model. The record is from RNAcentral.
UACGUAGGGUGCAAGCGUUGUCCGGAAUUAUUGGGCGUAAAGAGCUCGUAGGCGGUUUGUCGCGUCUGCUGUGAAAACUCGGGGCUUAACCCCGGGCCUGCAGUGGGUACGGGCAGACUAGAGUGCGGUAGGGGAGACUGGAAUUCCUGGUGUAGCGGUGAAAUGCGCAGAUAUCAGGAGGAACACCAGUGGCGAAGGCGGCUCACUGGCCCGGUACUGACGCUGAGGUGCGAAAGCGUGGGGAGCAAACAGG